UACGAAGGGGGCUAGCGUUGUUCGGAAUUACUGGGCGUAAAGCGCGCGCAGGCGGCUAUCCAAGUCAGUGGUGAAAGCCCGGAGCUCAACUCCGGAACUGCCAUUGAAACUGUUUAGCUUGAGGACGAGAGAGGUGAGUGGAAUUCCCAGUGUAGAGGUGAAAUUCGUAGAUAUUGGGAAGAACCCCGGUGGCGAAGGCGGCUCACUGGCUCGUAUCUGACGCUCAGGCGCGAUAGCGUGGGGAUCAAACAGG
Molecule: ribosomal RNA, 253 nt
Filed under: uncultured bacterium
Lineage: Bacteria
Description: partial 16S ribosomal RNA
Rfam family: Bacterial small subunit ribosomal RNA
Source: RNAcentral